AUGGUUGACCUCGGAUCAGGUAGGGAUACCCGCUGAACUUAAGCAUAUCAAUAAGCGGAGGAAAAGAAACCAACAGGGAUUACCUCAGUAACGGCGAGUGAAGCGGUAAAAGCUCAAAUUUGAAAUCUGGCCCUCUCAGGGUCCGAGUUGUAAUUUGUAGAAGAUGCUUCGGGUGUGGUUCCGGUCUAAGUUCCUUGGAACAGGACGUCAUAGAGGGUGAGAAUCCCGUAUGUGACUGGAUACCUACGCCCAUGUGAAGCUCUUUCGACGAGUCGAGUUGUUUGGGAAUGCAGCUCAAAAUGGGUGGUAUAUUUCAUCUAAAGCUAAAUAUUGGCCAGAGACCGAUAGCGCACAAGUAGAGUGAUCGAAAGAUGAAAAGCACUUUGGAAAGAGAGUUAAACAGUACGUGAAAUUGUUGAAAGGGAAGCGCUUGCAAUCAGACUUGCGCUCGGGGUUCAGCGGGGCUUCUGCCCCGUGUACUUCCCCGAGCUCAGGCCAGCAUCGGUUUGGGUGGUUAGAUAAAGGCCUGGAGAAUGUGGCCCUCUUCGGGGGGUGUUAUAGCUCCAGGUGCAAUGUAGCCUACCUGGACCGAGGACCGCGCUUCGGCUAGGAUGCUGGCGUAAUGGUUGUAAGCGAC
This 637-nucleotide ribosomal RNA is filed under the name Monilinia linhartiana. RNAcentral's name for it is "eukaryotic LSU rRNA". It matches the Rfam family "Eukaryotic large subunit ribosomal RNA", at positions 1 to 648 of the family's 3401-position model. Lineage: Eukaryota; Fungi; Ascomycota; Leotiomycetes; Helotiales; Sclerotiniaceae. The record is from RNAcentral.